GUGCUCGCUUCACCAGCACAUAUAUUAAAAUUUAAAUGAUACAGAAAUUAGCAUGGCCCCUAAGCAAG
Small nuclear RNA from Rhinopithecus bieti (black snub-nosed monkey), 68 nucleotides. Lineage: Eukaryota; Metazoa; Chordata; Mammalia; Primates; Cercopithecidae. The record is from Ensembl.